UACAGAGGGGGCAAGCGUUGUUCGGAAUUACUGGGCGUAAAGGGCGCGUAGGCGGCCCGCUAAGUCGAACGUGAAAUCCCCGGGCUCAACCCGGGAACUGCGUCCGAUACUGGUGGGCUUGAAUCCGGGAGAGGGAUGCGGAAUUCCAGGUGUAGCGGUGAAAUGCGUAGAUAUCUGGAGGAACACCGGUGGCGAAGGCGACGUCCUGGACCGGCAUUGACGCUGAGGCGCGAAAGCCAGGGGAGCAAACGGG
RNAcentral lists this ribosomal RNA (253 nucleotides) under uncultured bacterium. Its description in RNAcentral is "partial 16S ribosomal RNA". It matches the Rfam family "Bacterial small subunit ribosomal RNA", at positions 524 to 776 of the family's 1533-position model. The record is from RNAcentral.